Molecule: ribosomal RNA, 506 nt
Filed under: uncultured bacterium
Lineage: Bacteria
Description: partial 16S ribosomal RNA
Rfam family: Bacterial small subunit ribosomal RNA
Source: RNAcentral
AGUGAACGCUGGCGGUAGGCCUAACACAUGCAAGUCGAGCGGCAGCACAGGAGAGCUUGCUCUCUGGGUGGCGAGUGGCGGACGGGUGAGGAAUACAUCGGAAUCUACUCUGUCGUGGGGGAUAACGUAGGGAAACUUACGCUAAUACCGCAUACGACCUACGGGUGAAAGCAGGGGACCUUCGGGCCUUGCGCGAUUGAAUGAGCCGAUGUCGGAUUAGCUAGUUGGCGGGGUAAAGGCCCACCAAGGCGACGAUCCGUAGCUGGUCUGAGAGGAGGAUCAGCCGCACUGGAACUGGGACACGGUCCAGACUCCUACGGGAGGCAGCAGUGGGGAAUAUUGGACAAUGGGCGCAAGCCUGAUCCAGCCAUACCGCGUGGGUGGAGAAGGCCUUCGGGUUGUAAAGCCCUUUUGUUGGGAAAGAAAUCCAGCUGGCUAAUACCCGGUUGGGAUGACGGUACCCAAAGAAUAAGCACCGGCUAACUUCGUGCCAGCAGCCGCGGUAA